UACGGGGGGGGCAAGCGUUGUUCGGAAUUACUGGGCGUAAAGGGCUCGUAGGUGGCCAACUAAGUCAGACGUGAAAUCCCUCGGCUUAACCGGGGAACUGCGUCUGAUACUGGAUGGCUUGAGUUCGGGAGAGGGAUGCGGAAUUCCAGGUGCAGCGGUGAAAUGCGUAGAUAUCUGGAGGAACGCCGGUGGCGAAGGCGGCAUCCUGGACCGAUACUGACACUGAGGAGCGAAAGCCAGGGGAGCAAACGGG
This 253-nucleotide ribosomal RNA is filed under the name uncultured bacterium. RNAcentral's name for it is "partial 16S ribosomal RNA". It matches the Rfam family "Bacterial small subunit ribosomal RNA", at positions 524 to 776 of the family's 1533-position model. The record is from RNAcentral.